Molecule: long non-coding RNA, 405 nt
Filed under: Elaeis guineensis (African oil palm)
Lineage: Eukaryota; Viridiplantae; Streptophyta; Magnoliopsida; Arecales; Arecaceae
Description: long non-coding RNA (EGUI_LNC026686)
Source: RNAcentral
CCUAUUCUUGCUAUUCAUUUCAUAGGGACUUUUCAAACACCUCCCAUUCCAAGACGGGUGGGUAUGCGACAGCACACCACUCUCGAGGUCUCCGCAUCCAUCCGAGAGGUAGGGGAGUAUCCAACCAUCGAGCCAAAAUAUCACCAUAAUGGGAGCAUCUUCUAUCGCAUCUUCAUCGACAGGGAAUGCUGGAGGAGAUCAUAUUGGGCACACCUGGUAGCACUAUCUGUUAUUUGCAGAGGGCUUUGAGCAUAGUGGAGAAGAGAUGGGCAUUGAAACAUACUUAGGGCUCGAGAAGUUUAUCAGGAAGAAAGGAACAAUCCAGAAAGAUUCCCAAUGUCACACGUGGUGCAUAAAGGAUCACUUGGCGCAAACAAUGCAUGCAGAAUGAAGAUAUUGCAUGUC